GGGGGGUGGGGAGGAAGGGAAGGGCCAUGACUGACAGAAGCACAGGCUAGCCGCAGGCUGCUUUCUCGUACUGUCUCUGUGGCGUGGAGCUUGGAGACUCCUUCCCUCUCCUGCUCAAAUAACCCGAGGAGCUCUGGACCACCUGAGAAGAACCCGACGCCUGUGGAAAGCGGUAAUGUUUGCACCAGUCAUAUUUGUGCAACUGACAGGGCCCGCUGCUGACACCUGCAGUGGCCCCUACAUUAUUACUUUCUCUUUUUUUAAAAAAAGUAUGGCUCAGUGCCUUGAGCUGUGCUGGACAGCUGGUCUGGCUGCCACGUUCACUUCCCACAAUACGCCUGAUAAUGGGGCUUCGCUCCAGGGCAUUGUGGGAAAUGAAAAUGGUAGCCCCCUGCUCAGAGCACUGUUGCCUCCCGCCACCAAAUAAGUCCAUCGACGGAGGAGGGGGCCCACCGGAGAGCCAGUGAAAGCAGCACACACGCCCCAAGUUUGGGCCAGGGGCCUGAAGAGGAGUCUCGACAUGGGCUUCUGCCACAUGGCCUGCAGUGGCAGGCAUCCCUGGUGCAUCAUGGGCUGGAGCCGCACAAAAGGAUUCCCCCCGCUGCACACAUAGCCUGAGAAAGUUGGUCCCGGGGAUCUUCUCAAACAGGCAGGAUAGAUUAGCGUCAGCUUUGCGUCUGGCUGUUCAUAGCGAUUACUAUAUUCCGUUCCAUUGUGGUUUUUCUUUUUUGUUUGUUUUCGUAUUUAAACUCAGGUGUAGUGUUUUAUAUAUAUGUUAUGUGUGCGUGUGUAUAUAUAUAUAUAUAUACACACACACACAUAAAUAUUGAUGAUUUCAAAAUAUUAAAUAUGCUAUAUCAAGUUACGUGGUCAUGUGUUGUCUAGCUUACCGGUGUAGUAAUGGAACAAAGCUUUUAGAAUAAUUUAAUUUAUCUUCACUAAAAACUUAAGGGCUGGAGCAGGACGGGGAGGGGGCAGGAAUAAAAGGACCCCCACCCCUCCAGCUCACGGAGUGGAAGCACAGAGACAUCACAAAGGUCACAUCAUCUCAUUAAUUUUAUGUUUGUUUGGGGCGGGGUGGGGAUAAUGUAGAACUGCCCAUUCAUUUUAUGCGUGGUGAUAUUUCUGCCCUGUGUAUUUCUGCAACACGCUAAGCUUUGGCUAUCUGAAGCAUGAACUUGACAAUGCUAAAGUGGUCUUUUCCUUAAGCAAACCAAACAGAGGCUUUGGAGAUAGCCAAGUGGCCUCCAGGGGCUGCCCAUAAGACUGGCUAGAAUGAGGAAACUAUCGUACAGUGCACUGUCCUGCUUGUAUGGAACGAGAGGCCUUUACACAAAACGGGAUUAGCAAAGCCUUUUUAAAGGGAGGCAUUGCGUAAAGCAAAAUUGUGGAGUGUGCGAUUCCCUUGUUCCUGGUGUGAAAAAUCACAAACCGUCAUUCGUCCUUUUUGAAGCGGGUGGGAAGAAGCCCCAUCACCUGCAUUCCUUUUUCUACAGGAUGCUGAACAGAAAAGCAAAUAGCUUCCCACAGGCAGAAACUGCAGCUACAGUUGGCGUCCUCUGCAGUGGGCGUCCUCUGCCUGCCUCGUUCCAGCAAGAGAGGUCCAUGCAGGUAUUAAAUGCCCUUCAUUCCGUGAGUGUUUGCCAAUGCGUUUGGGAUGAUGCAGGCCCCCAUCUGCGUGGCAAUACUCACUUGAACGGGGUUGGGCUGCCCCGACACACCUUCUGAUGGGGGGUGCGUCAGCCUCUAAAGCCGCCAGGUUAGUUUUGCAAAGGCUACAACUGCAUUGAAGGCUUGUGGGGUUUAAGCAACCUCGCCCGUGUGCAGGGAAUGCUGCCUUCAAGUCAGUUUCAAGUGAAUACAUAGAAUUGUAGAGUUGGAAGGGACCCCAACAGUCAUCUAGUCCAACCCCCUGCCACGCAGGAAUUCAAUUCAAGUAGUUUGGUUUACACUAGCGGGUUUUUGUCUCUUAACUUUGAACUUAUUUAAAAUGAACACACUGUUACAUUUCUUCCUCUUCUGUCAAGCUUCUUUUCCACCACCCCUCUUUUUUUUUUUUUUUGUUCAAAGGUGUGCAAAAUGCCAAGGGCAAGCAAAAAUUUGAAAAAUAAAUGAAUAAAUCAGGAUAUUUUUCUCUAUCUCUAUUUUUAGAGACACCGUUUAGCGUGCAUGUGGGCGGGAGGGAAUUCCAUAUUGUUAAAAUAAUGCUAUCUCUCCAAAAAAAAAGGCUUUUUAAAAAAUUAAAAACGGAAAAACAAAGACUUCUUUUGAAAUUAUGUGCAGAAUAGUUCUGGGGGGGGGGGGGAAAUAUGAAAUGUAUUCCGUUUUAGAGGAGCAGGGAGGUAUUUUUUUAUUGUGAGGCUUUCUUUGUACAGAAUUUUUUUCUUACGGUUGUAAUUUGAAUCUCUUGCCAUUUGUUAGGGUUAUUUCAUUGUAGUCAUUGUUGCUGUGCCAAAUGUACUGUAUUCUAAAGGAUGUGAAUGUGUAUUGUUUCGGAACCUAAUAAAUCAAGGAUGUUAAAAUCUUA
Molecule: long non-coding RNA, 2527 nt
Filed under: Podarcis lilfordi (Lilford's wall lizard)
Lineage: Eukaryota; Metazoa; Chordata; Lepidosauria; Squamata; Lacertidae
Source: RNAcentral